ACGUCCCAGACUCCGUAAACGGUGAGGCAGCUAGGUGUGGGCAAUAUUGCACGUUGUCCGUGCCGACAGCCUGAUGCAUUAAGUGACGCCGCGUGAGGGAGUGACGGCCUUCAGGGUUGUAAACCUCUUUCAGCAGGGAAUUGACGGGGGCCCGCACAAGUGGCGGUAGCAUGUGGCUUAAUUCGACGCAAGCGCCGAAGCUAACCUUACCAAGUGCUUGACAUGCACGCGGUAAUACGUCUGGCGACAGGCGCCCCCUUGUCCGGAAUUAUUGGGUGUACAGAGCUGGUAGGCAUGGCUGUCGUCACGCUCGUGUUGUGAGAUGCCUUGGGCUUAAGUCCCGCAACGGGUCUGCAACCGUUGAUCCCGUGUUGCCAGGCUAGAGCCCUUGUGGUAGCUGGGAGACUCACGGGAGAUUCCUGGUGUAGCGGUGAACUGCGGAGGAUAGGUCAGGAGGAACGACCGGUGGCGAAGUCGGAUCAUGCUCCCUUAUGUCUUGGGCUGCACACGUGCUACAAUGGCCGGUACAAUGAGCUGCGAUACCGCGAGGUGGAGCGAAUCUCAAAAAGCCGGUCUCAGUUCGGAUUGGGGUCUGCAACUCGACCCCAUGAAGUCGGAGUCGCUAGUAAUCGCAGAUCAGCAUUGCUGCGGUGAAUACGUUCCCGGGCCUUGUACACACCGCCCGUCACGUCACGAAAGUCGGUAACACCCGAAGCCGGUGGUCAGAGCCCCUUGUGGGUAGGGAGCUGAAUGGAUAGGCGGACACUUGGCGCCGCGGUC
RNAcentral lists this ribosomal RNA (780 nucleotides) under Streptomyces sp. Its description in RNAcentral is "bacterial SSU rRNA". It matches the Rfam family "Bacterial small subunit ribosomal RNA", at positions 788 to 1487 of the family's 1533-position model. The record is from RNAcentral. Lineage: Bacteria; Bacillati; Actinomycetota; Actinomycetes; Kitasatosporales; Streptomycetaceae.